Molecule: long non-coding RNA, 438 nt
Organism: Lepidothrix coronata (blue-crowned manakin)
Lineage: Eukaryota; Metazoa; Chordata; Aves; Passeriformes; Pipridae
Exons: 3
Source: RefSeq, a predicted model, not a curated record
GGUUCUGUGAUUUGGUGACUCUGUGAUCCCGUGACUCUGUGUUUCUGUGACUGUGGUUCUGUCACUCUGGGAUCCUGCAGAGCUCUGUCCCCAGGCACUCUCGUUUGGGGGUUGUUAUUUAGCACAAACCUGUGAGCUGUGAGGAUUGUGGCUCAUCCAGACCCUCGUUCUCUCUUGUGUCACCAGGCAGCAGGGAUUCCAAUCCUGCCGAUGGCACAGCACAGAAGGGACAGGGACAGGCAGGUCCCCUCCAGCCUCCCCAGCCAGCUGGCUGUGCCCUGUGGGGACCAGAGUGAUUAUCUGUGCUGUCCCAGGAGUUCUUUUUUAAGGAGAGGUUUAUCCAGUGUCGCUGCUGUGAGUGGCCAUGGCUGGCAGUGGAAUUAUUUAUGUCUUCUAUUGGGCUUUGAUAGUGUUUCGUGUCUCUGAAUAUAAAACUGC